Molecule: small nuclear RNA, 284 nt
Filed under: Mus spicilegus (steppe mouse)
Lineage: Eukaryota; Metazoa; Chordata; Mammalia; Rodentia; Muridae
Description: 7SK RNA (ENSMSIG00000009488.1)
Rfam family: 7SK RNA
About the family: 7SK was discovered as an abundant small nuclear RNA in the mid-70s but a possible function has only recently been suggested. Two independent studies have found that 7SK RNA binds the CDK9/cyclin T complex (known as elongation factor P-TEFb).
Source: Rfam by way of RNAcentral
GGACGUGAGAGUAAUCUGGCUGCAGCAUCUGUCACCCCAUUGAUUGCCGGGGUUGAUUCGGCUGCUCUGGCUGGCUAGGCAGGUGUCCCCUUCCUCCCUCACCGCUCCAUGUGUGUCCCUCCUGAAUGCUCAGCCUAAGAGGAUGGCCUUCCCCGAAUAGAGGAGGACUGGUCUUCGGCCAAUGGGAGCUGCGCUCCCCUGCUAGAACCUCCAAACAAGCUCUCAAGAAAUAAAGUUGUUGUUGUUGUUUGGAUAGUUUGGCUUGGGAGGCUCUGUGCCAACCA